AGCCAUUAGAAAAACAAGUACUAAAGGUAACACCUGCCCAGUGAGAAACUUUCUUAAACGGCCGCGACCAAACGUGCGAAGGUAGCGCAAUCACUUGUUCCAUAAAUUGGGACCCGUAUGAACGGUCUCAUGAAAGAGAAACUGUCUCUUGAAGAAGGCCAGUGAAACUGAUCUGCCUGUACAAAAGCAGGCAUUUUUAAGCAAGACAAAAAGACCCUGUGAAACUUAAAAUUAGACAUUAAACCAAUAAUGCCUAACUUUUAGUUGGGGCAACUUAAGAAAUACAAAACAUCUUUUAACCUCUUAGACCAACAAGUCUAAGCAACCAAAAACAGGACCCGGUACAACCGAUUAAUGAACCAAGCUACUCCAGGGAUAACAGCGCCAAAUUCUUUAAGAGUCCAUAUCAACAAGAAUUCUUACGACCUCGAUGUUGGAUCAGGAUACCCAAACAGUGCAAAAGCUGUUAAUGGUUCGUUUGUUCAACGAUUAAAACCCU
This 499-nucleotide ribosomal RNA is filed under the name Acanthocercus adramitanus (Hadramaut agama). RNAcentral's name for it is "partial 16S ribosomal RNA". It matches the Rfam family "Bacterial large subunit ribosomal RNA", at positions 1824 to 2597 of the family's 2925-position model. The record is from RNAcentral. Lineage: Eukaryota; Metazoa; Chordata; Lepidosauria; Squamata; Agamidae.